CUGAGUUUCUGUCAGUGAGACAGCUGGACACUCACCCUGAGUCUUUGCAAAGGCAAGGCAACGUUGAAUCAACAAACGCAAAAAACAGGAACUUACAAAACCCCUCCUUCUGACUCUUCUUCGUUCAAUAUCCUUCCUUAUAUCACCCUGCGGAGGGUGUUAAGUGUAAAAUUGAAAGACGCUGAGGCAGUAAGACACCAUGGCUGAAGAGGUGACUUAUGCUGAAAUCCAAUUCACUAAUAUAAGAGGACAGAAGUGCUCAACCACCCCUUCUACUCCAGCACACCCACGAACCCCCCACACCCAGGCCAGUAAUAGAGGACGUCUCCAUAUUGCUCUGGCCGUCUCACUGUUCAUCUUCCUGCUCGCCAUGGCUGUCAUGGGCAUUGUCUUGGGGACACAGAUCAGCUCAGCCUGGGAGAGAAGACUGGAGGAGAAGGAGAAGGAGCUGGAGGAGAAGGAGAAGGAGCUGGAGAACCUCAGGCAAGAAGUCAGUGAACUCAGGAAUGAAUCUGCGAUGUGCAGCAAUGCGUCUGAGAUUUACAAGAAUGAAGCGAUGAAGUACAUGAAUUUAACCAAGAGAUACGUGAAGCAGAUGGAGAGUGCAGGUGUGGACCCCUCUACUGGAAGGAGAAGUAAGUGGGUGUGUAAUUUGUGUGGUUUUGAUGUGAGGGUGAAACAGAAGCAGAGCUGGUCAGCACGUGCAACACUGCAGUGUGUGGCGAGAGCCGUGACUCCUGGGAAGGUAAGAUCACAUGACGAGAGUGUAGAAAUCCCAGUCUCAGCUGGUGCAGGACUCUCCUGAGACAGACUGCAGCCUGACUCCAUGUCUCAGCAGG
Molecule: long non-coding RNA, 839 nt
Filed under: Lepisosteus oculatus (spotted gar)
Lineage: Eukaryota; Metazoa; Chordata; Actinopteri; Semionotiformes; Lepisosteidae
Description: lncRNA (ENSLOCG00000021183.1)
Source: RNAcentral